This 497-nucleotide ribosomal RNA is filed under the name uncultured bacterium. RNAcentral's name for it is "partial 16S ribosomal RNA". It matches the Rfam family "Bacterial small subunit ribosomal RNA", at positions 28 to 507 of the family's 1533-position model. The record is from RNAcentral.
GAUGAACGCUGGCGGCGUGCCUAAUCCAUGCAAGUCGAGCGAACGGACGCGAAGCUUUCUUCUCUGGUGUUAGCGUCGGACGGGGGAGUAAAACGUGGAUAACCUCCCUAUAAUACUUGGAUAACUUCGGGAAACCGGAGCUCAUACCGGAUGAUAUUUUGAACCGCAUGGUUCAAGAGUGAAAGACGGUCUUGCUGUCACUUAUAGAUGGAUCCGCGCUGCAUUAGCUAGUUGGUAAGGUAACGGCUUACCAAGGCAACGAUGCAUAGCCGACCUGAGAGGGUGGUGGGCCACAAUGGAACUGAGAAACGGCCCAGACUCCUACGGGAGGCAGCAGUAGGGAAGCUUACGCAAUGGGCGGAAGACUGACGGAGCAACGCCGCGUGAGUGAUGAAGGUCUUCGGAUGGUAAAACUCUGUUAUUAGGGAAGAAGAUAUGUGGAAGUAACUGUGCACAUCUUGACGGUACCUAAUCAGAAAGCCACGGCUAACUACGUG